AUUAUUAUUGGUGGUUUUCCCAGGGUGAGGCUCAUCCAUUGCACUCCGGGUGUGCUGAUCCCUGCAGUUUCCCCAAAUGUGGGGAAACUCGACCGCAUAAUUUGCAGUAGUGAGGGAUAACGGGAUCCAAU
RNAcentral lists this small nuclear RNA (131 nucleotides) under Melopsittacus undulatus (budgerigar). Its description in RNAcentral is "U1 spliceosomal RNA (ENSMUNG00000016509.2)". It matches the Rfam family "U1 spliceosomal RNA", at positions 29 to 166 of the family's 166-position model. Rfam says of the family: U1 is a small nuclear RNA (snRNA) component of the spliceosome (involved in pre-mRNA splicing). The record is from RNAcentral. Lineage: Eukaryota; Metazoa; Chordata; Aves; Psittaciformes; Psittaculidae.